ACUGCUAAUCUAUUACUGCUGUCAAUCUAUCUACUACUGUUAAUCUAUCUAUUACUAUCAAUCUAUCUACCACUGCUAAUCUAUCACUGCUAAUCUAUUACUGCUAAUCUAUUGCUGUUAAUCUAUUACUGCUAAUCUAUUACUACUAAUCUAUCACUGCUAAUUUAUUGCUGCUAUUAAUCUAUCUAUCACUGUCAAUCUAUCUAUCACUGCUAAUCUAUUGCUGCUAAUCUAUCACUGCUAAUCUAUUGCUGCUAAUCUAUUGCUGCUAAUCUAUUACUGCUAAUCUAUUACUGUUAAUUUAUUGCUGCUGCUAAUCUAUCUACUACUAUUAAUCUAUCUACUGCUGCUAAUCUAUUGCUGCUGUUAAUCUAUCUAUCACUGUCAAUCUAUCUAUCACUGCUAAUCUAUCACUGCUAAUCUAUUGCUGCUAAUUUAUUGCUGCUAAUCUAUUGCUGUUAAUCUAUUGCUGCUAAUCAAUCUAUCACUGCUAAUCUAUUGCUGUCAAUCUAUCUACUACUGUUAAUCUAUCUACUACUGUCAAUCUAUCUACUGCUGUC
This 560-nucleotide small RNA is filed under the name Histoplasma capsulatum. RNAcentral's name for it is "hypothetical RNA". RNAcentral also lists the same sequence under 1 other name. The record is from RNAcentral. Lineage: Eukaryota; Fungi; Ascomycota; Eurotiomycetes; Onygenales; Ajellomycetaceae.